UGCAUCGGGAGAACACGAGGUUCUUAAACAGAAUCAUUAGUUAAUGUGAAUCAUGAUGAAGCUCAAUCCAAAGUAAAAGCACCGUGAUUUGUCUGGUAAAUGAAUCGUCUCAUCACAAACAUGGUUUUGUUGGACUGUUUUGCUGUCAGUGUAUCUCGUGUGUGCUCUGUCUCCAUUUGUGAGGUUCUUGUCUCCGUUGUUUCUCCAUCAGAGUGAAACAGGAACUGUGAUUAAACGUCAGAGCCUGUGGGCAUAUUUGGGCUUCUUGUCAGCUGUCGUCCUGCUGGAGCUGGGAUUUGCAGUGGGGCAGUGUUUGAAGUUUGGUCUAUUUCUGCCUCCAAUGUUCAAUGUAGCUGUGUCCCCAUGUCCACAUACAGUUGACUGUUUUCUCUCCCAACCAAAUGAGAAGUCAGUGUUCAUGUUCAUCAUGUUAGUUCUGGCCUGUCUGUCAGGCCUGCUGACCCUGGUGGAGAUGUGCACGGUGAUGAAGAUGGAGAAGCUCAAGAAAAAGUGCGAGGAGAACAGGAUUAAUAGCAUCCUGUGCUGUGAGAUGGUGUCAAACGACAAAGAAGAAGACGAUACUGAAAAGAAGUGGAAUGUCUCAGCGUGACACACUGACUUUCCUCAUGUGUGUUCAUGAGAUGAACACAAAUAUACAACUGAUAUGAUUCAUUUUUCUUUCUAAUCUUUUGUGUGAAACAGUAUUUAAACAAUUUAAAGCAUAUUUAGAACAACUCUUUUAUUUUGAAAAAUAAAUAUUUUUAAC
Long non-coding RNA from Oreochromis aureus, 766 nucleotides. RefSeq lists it as uncharacterized. The record is from RefSeq and is a predicted model, not a curated record. NCBI's taxonomy places the organism in Eukaryota, Metazoa, Chordata, Actinopteri, Cichliformes, Cichlidae. The transcript has 3 exons.